RNAcentral lists this small RNA (99 nucleotides) under Salmonella enterica. RNAcentral describes it as "partial RtT sRNA". It matches the Rfam family "RtT RNA", at positions 34 to 130 of the family's 130-position model. Rfam says of the family: This family represents a bacterial cis-regulatory element known as RtT RNA. The exact function of RtT is unknown although it is thought that it may be involved in changing the cellular response in relation to amino acid starvation. Lineage: Bacteria; Pseudomonadati; Pseudomonadota; Gammaproteobacteria; Enterobacterales; Enterobacteriaceae. The record is from RNAcentral.
GACUAAGGUUCGAUUCGAGCGAAAGCGAGAAAGCGUUGCCGCAGGCAACGACCCGAAGGGCGAAGCGCGCAGCGCUGAGUAAUCCUUCCCCCGUCAUCC